CGUCACUAUACUAACCACUAACCACUGACAAUAAAAGCGCGACGACACGUAACAACAUCGUUGUGACAGAACGUUCUAACUAUUUAUAUUCAUCUAUAAUUUAAAAAAAAAAUCCUCAUUAAUACAAACGUAUCACAUACAGGUGAAUGCACAGAUUAAAUACACACAGCAUGCAAGGUACACACACUUCUCAGCAUUCUGUCAACAGUGAACACUCUUUUAUUUCAUAAUGUGAUCACUGAAGUUCAUUAAUUAAUUAAUUAUUAUGAAAAUCUUAACGUUAAUAUCGUCUAUCUUUCAACCUUACGUUACAACAUGACACAUUGAUCAACAAAUUGACGUUUUCUGGCACGUUGAUGUUUCAUCCCAUUUUUAGCCGGUUGAAAAGACUUUUAAAUGAGGUCUUAGACGUUCAGACCUCAUUUCAACCCGAUUUCAACCAUAUUUCAACGUUGAAAUUACGUCUUGUGCUCACUGGGAAGUGUUAUUUGCCUGACAUGAUUAACAUUCUCUUUCCUUACAUCUUGUUGUCUUCCUCAUCUUUGUAAUUUUAAUAUUUUACCAAUGAAAGUGUUUCUAAAUGUUUUAUUUUGGUUUGUUUUACGGAGGCUCUGGAUUAAGGACGCCAGCCGUUUGCUGCGGUCAAUUGAAAGUGUUCCAUAGCGUAUUGUUGCAGUUAGUUUACCUUGUUCCUAAUAAUUUAAUGAUUGAUUUUUUUAUUAUUGUAUGGGACAUAUUUUAUGUUUUGAUCUUGGUUACAAAUGCCAAAUAUUUUUGUCUUAAAGGCAUCUAAUAAACUCCAACCACUAUGACCGAGCUGAGUUUGGUGGUCUUUCUUUAAUUUGUGGGGAAUUGAAUGCAAAAGUAUACGGUUAUAAGUAAACGGUAACAUUGUAGCGGCUCCCAGACUGUGGAACGCUUUGUCGUUUUCUGUGCGGUCUGAGACGAGCCUUUCCACUUUUAAAACUCGCCUUAAGACUCACUUGUUCACAUUGGCCUUUGGCCGAGUUAAGUCACCUGCAUCGUUCUCUUAUGUGUUUGCCUUUUACUGUUCAUUUUAAUUUUUUUUAUUUUUUGUUUGUUUUACGUUUUCUUCGUAUUGUUUUAUUGAUGCUGAUUGUUUUUUAUCCUGUAAAGCACUUUGGCUGGCCACUGGCCUUUAAAAGUGCUGUAUAAAUAAAAUUGACAUUGACAUUCUGGUAUUUAUAACACAAAAACAGUAAUCGUAUGGUAACAAACUGUAAUCCAAUAUACAACAACAUACCGUAAAUUACGGUAGGGCACGGUAAAUAAAACAGUAAAUUACUAGUGUCAACUGCCAGUAAAUUGCAGUUAAUUCACAGUCAAAUUCGUUCAAGUUUAUGGUAACAUACAGUAAUCCAUUUUACGGUA
Gasterosteus aculeatus aculeatus (three-spined stickleback) is the source of this 1392-nucleotide long non-coding RNA. The record is from Ensembl. NCBI's taxonomy places the organism in Eukaryota, Metazoa, Chordata, Actinopteri, Perciformes, Gasterosteidae.